AGCUGUGCCCUAGCAGCGGGAACAGUACUGCAGUGGGUGAUCCGUAUUCUGGAGUAUUGUUUCUGCUGCCCGGGUAAGGCUGG
This 83-nucleotide microRNA precursor is filed under the name Eptesicus fuscus (big brown bat). Its description in RNAcentral is "microRNA efu-mir-503 precursor". Its record names the gene efu-mir-503. The stretch from base 6 to 76 matches the Rfam family "mir-503 microRNA precursor family". The record is from miRBase by way of RNAcentral. Lineage: Eukaryota; Metazoa; Chordata; Mammalia; Chiroptera; Vespertilionidae.